RNAcentral lists this ribosomal RNA (775 nucleotides) under uncultured Neocallimastigales. Its description in RNAcentral is "partial large subunit ribosomal RNA". It matches the Rfam family "Eukaryotic large subunit ribosomal RNA", at positions 26 to 628 of the family's 3401-position model. The record is from RNAcentral. Lineage: Eukaryota; Fungi; Neocallimastigomycota; Neocallimastigomycetes; Neocallimastigales.
CGCAUCUGUGCAUGCAGCAUUAUCAAUAAGCGGAGGAAAAGAAACUAACAAGGAUUCCCCUAGUAACGGCGAGUGAAGCGGGAAGAGCUCAAAUUUGAAAUCUUAAAGGGUUUCCCUUUACGAAUUGUAGUUUAAAGAAGUGUUUUCUGUUGAGGUUUUGGUAAAAGUUCUUUGGAAUAGGACAUCAUAGAGGGUGAGAAUCCCGUAUUUGACCUUUACUUUCAACUUUGUGAUACACUUUCAAAGAGUCGGAUUGUUUGGGAAUGCAGUCCAAAAUGGGUGGUAAAUUUCAUCUAAAGCUAAAUAUUGGCGAGAGACCGAUAGCGAACAAGUACCGUGAGGGAAAGAUGAAAAGAACUUUGAAAAGAGAGUUAAACAGUACGUGAAAUUGUCAAAAGGGAAGCGUUUGACACCAGUGUUGUUUUUCUGAAAAUCAAUUAAAGAACUGUUUAUGCUAAGCUGUUUAGACUUUAUCAGCUAUCUGUUUAGUUUUGAGCUUUUCUUUAAUGCACUUUUCAGUUAACAAGUCAACAUCAAUUUCUUUUGCUGUAAAAAAGCUUGAGGAAGGUGGCUUGAGAUUCGUCUUAAGUGUUUAUAGCCUCUUGCCUAUGCAGUCGGAGAGAUUGAGGUCUGCAGCGUAGAUCCUUCGGGGCUAAAUGCAUUUGUGCUAAGUUAUAGCAUUUUAUAGACAACUUGUUGACUAUGAUUUGUCUUGUAGCUUACUCGCUUAUGUUAUUUUACCUACGCUUAGGAUGUUGAGUCGUAGAGCACGCAG